UGCGUAGGCGGCGGCAUAAGUCAGAAGUGAAAGUUGGCAGCUUAACUGCAAAAUUGCUUUUGAUACCGUGUUGCUUGAAUCACGUUGAGGCUGGCGGAAUGUGGCAUGUAGCGGUGAAAUGCUUAGAUAUGCCAUAGAACACCAAUUGCGAAGGCAGCUGGCUAGACGUGUAUUGACGCUGAGGCACGAAAGCGUGGGGAGCGAACAGGAUUAGAUACCCUGGUAGUC
Molecule: ribosomal RNA, 228 nt
Filed under: uncultured bacterium
Lineage: Bacteria
Description: partial 16S ribosomal RNA
Rfam family: Bacterial small subunit ribosomal RNA
Source: RNAcentral